CCCUUAGAUGUCCUGGGCCGCACGCGCGCUACACUGAACGGAUCAGCGCGUUUUCCCUUCCCGAGAGGGACGGGUAACCUGCUGAACCCCGUUCGUGGUAGGGAUCGGGGCUUGCAAUUAUUCCCCGUGAACCAGGAAUGCCCAGUAAGUGCAAGUCAUAAGCUUGCGUUGAUUACGUCCCUGCCCUUUGUACACACCGCCCGUCGCUACUACCGAUUGAACGUUUUAGUGAGGUACUCGGACUGAGCCUCAGAAGAUUCACGUCUUUUGUGCUGCUCGGGAAGAUUCCCAAACUUGAGCAUUUAGAGGAAGUAAAAGUCGUAACA
RNAcentral lists this ribosomal RNA (326 nucleotides) under uncultured eukaryote. RNAcentral describes it as "partial 18S ribosomal RNA". It matches the Rfam family "Eukaryotic small subunit ribosomal RNA", at positions 1470 to 1796 of the family's 1831-position model. The record is from RNAcentral.